CUUGGCUUCACAUCCUUGAUGACUACACCCAGUAUACCUGAAGAAGAAGAAGAGAUGCCUCGAGUAGAUGUUGUGUAUGAAAAUAUUCAAAACAUACCUCCUCUACUGAAGACAUACAUCAAGAGUCCUGCAAAGCUAAAGAGAAAAUGUGGAGAUGAGGAUCCUUCAGAGCCGAGCAGUGCGGAGAAGAGGAUCGAUUUUGAUGAUCCAUCAGCAGCUUAGGAUGUUAUAGAUAGUUUUG
Molecule: long non-coding RNA, 241 nt
Organism: Cryptomeria japonica (Japanese cedar)
Lineage: Eukaryota; Viridiplantae; Streptophyta; Pinopsida; Cupressales; Cupressaceae
Exons: 3
Source: RefSeq, a predicted model, not a curated record